Molecule: long non-coding RNA, 682 nt
Organism: Tympanuchus pallidicinctus (lesser prairie-chicken)
Lineage: Eukaryota; Metazoa; Chordata; Aves; Galliformes; Phasianidae
Exons: 2
Source: RefSeq, a predicted model, not a curated record
CAGGGCUGGGACCCCGAGCGCGGCAUUUGGCCGUGUUGCCCCGCUGCCUGGCAGCUGAGAGUCGCUCCCGCCGCUGGGGGGGAAACCGAGCUCUGUGGCUCCAGGGGUGUUGUCCACCCGCCUGUAAUCAGGGUCUGGGUGCGCGAGCGCUUGUGCUCAGCUGGCAGCCUGUGUGGGGUGACCGCCCCGUUAGCGGGGUGCGGGUCAAGGUGCCCCCUGAGUGGGAGAGAAGGAGCCUCCCGCGGCCGGUAGGGAUGGGGGCUGCCCUGUAAGGCGGGGAGCGCCAGUGCCUCGCAAUCCCAGGCCCUUUGCAAUGGAUGCAGUGGCGGGGGUCCCCUGUAAUCAGGGAAGAUGACUCUUUGGCCGCUGCUUGUUGUGUGCCCAGCUCCAUUUGCCCAGUCUGCCCGCCUCUGUGAUCCCCCGCAGCACCGGCUGGAAGCGCGCCGUGCGCCAGUGAGGAGCUGCUGCAGGAGGAGGAGGAGGAGGAGGAAGAAGAAGAAGCGGUGUGGGGACACGGGAGGCAGGAGCGACCAUGAAGGAGAUUCUUUUUAUUGUCAAUCUCUUUGUAUUAACUUGUCUUUUGAAGCCACAGUUGAAAUGUGUGUAUUGCUGUUGUUACUUCCCAGUUCCCACUAGAGACCUUUGAGAAUAAAUUUUAUUUGUAUGUUGUUGUUGCAAUGGA